UCAGUGAUCGCUCAGGUGGUAGAGCACGAGACUCUUAAUCUUAGGGUCGUGGGUUCGAGCCCCAAAAGAUCCCUGCA
Non-coding RNA from Podarcis lilfordi (Lilford's wall lizard), 77 nucleotides. The record is from the annotation of a GenBank genome assembly. Lineage: Eukaryota; Metazoa; Chordata; Lepidosauria; Squamata; Lacertidae.